RNAcentral lists this ribosomal RNA (582 nucleotides) under uncultured bacterium. RNAcentral's name for it is "bacterial SSU rRNA". It matches the Rfam family "Bacterial small subunit ribosomal RNA", at positions 102 to 680 of the family's 1533-position model. The record is from RNAcentral.
ACGGGUGAGUAAUGUCUGGGGAUCUGCCCGAUAGAGGGGGAUAACCACUGGAAACGGUGGCUAAUACCGCAUAAUGUCGCAAGACCAAAGAGGGGGACCUUCGGGCCUCUCACUAUCGGAUGAACCCAGAUGGGAUUAGCUAGUAGGCGGGGUAAUGGCCCACCUAGGCGACGAUCCCUAGCUGGUCUGAGAGGAUGACCAGCCACACUGGAACUGAGACACGGUCCAGACUCCUACGGGAGGCAGCAGUGGGGAAUAUUGCACAAUGGGCGCAAGCCUGAUGCAACCAUGCCGCGUGUAUGAAGAAGGCCUUCGGGUUGUAAAGUACUUUCAGCGGGGAGGAAGGCGACGGGGUUAAUAACCCUGUCGAUUGACGUUACCCGCAGAAGAAGCACCGGCUAACUCCGUGCCAGCAGCCGCGGUAAUACGGAGGGUGCAAGCGUUAAUCGGAAUUACUGGGCGUAAAGCGCACGCAGGCGGUCUGUUAAGUCAGAUGUGAAAUCCCCGGGCUUAACCUGGGAACUGCAUUUGAAACUGGCAGGCUUGAGUCUUGUAGAGGGGGGUAGAAUUCCAGGUGUAGCG